AGUGAACGCUGGCGGCGUGCCUAAUACAUGCAAGUCGAACGAGUGGCGCACGGGUGAGUAAUAUAUAGCUAAUCUGCCCCUUGCUGGAGGACACCAGUUAGAAAUGACUGCUAAUACUCCAUAGCAAGGGAUGAGCCUAUAUCGUAUCAGCUAGUCGGUGGGGUAAAGGCCUACCGAGGCUAUGACGCGUAACUGGUCUGAGAGGAUGAUCAGGCACAUUGGAACUGGGACACGGGCCAGACUCCUACGGGAGGCAGGAGGUGGGGAUCUUCCGAAAUGGGCGAAAGUCUGGCGGAGGAAAGCCGGGGGAGUGAUGACGGGCUUCGGGUUGUAAAGCUACGUUAAGCGGGACGCGGUACCGGAAUAGAAAGCCACGGCUAACUACGUGCCAGCAGCCGCGGUAAUAC
RNAcentral lists this ribosomal RNA (407 nucleotides) under uncultured bacterium. RNAcentral describes it as "partial 16S ribosomal RNA". It matches the Rfam family "Bacterial small subunit ribosomal RNA", at positions 29 to 526 of the family's 1533-position model. The record is from RNAcentral.